Molecule: ribosomal RNA, 462 nt
Filed under: uncultured bacterium
Lineage: Bacteria
Description: partial 16S ribosomal RNA
Rfam family: Bacterial small subunit ribosomal RNA
Source: RNAcentral
AAUGAACGUUGGCGGCAUGGAUUAGGCAUGCACGUCGGGGGAAUCCCAGCAAUGGGGGAACCGGCGUAAGGGGCAGUAAGGCAUGGGUACCUACCUUGGGGGUCGGGAUAGCCAUCAGAGAUGGUGGGUAAUACCGGAUGACGUCGUGAGACCAAAGAUUUAUCGCCCUUAGAGGGGCCCAUGUGAUAUUAGCUAGUUGGUGGGGUAACGGCCCACCAAGGCGAAGAUGUCUAGCGGGUGUGAGAGCACGACCCGCGCCACUCGCACUGAGACACUGGCGAGACACCUACGGGUGGCUGCAGUGGAGGAUCUUCGGCAAUGAGCGCAAGCUUGACCGAGCGAUGCCGCGUGAGCGAUGAAGGCCUUCGGGUUGUAAAGCUCUUUAGUGGGGGAGAAAAGCCGCAAGGUGUGAUCUAUCCCAAAAAUAAGCACGGGCUAAGUUCGUGCCAGCCGCCGCCGUAA